Molecule: long non-coding RNA, 4652 nt
Organism: Formica exsecta
Lineage: Eukaryota; Metazoa; Arthropoda; Insecta; Hymenoptera; Formicidae
Exons: 2
Source: RefSeq, a predicted model, not a curated record
ACAUAAUCGAAAUCGCUCGCGUAAUUAACAUUUACAACGGAAAUGCUGUGGAGGGAACGAUACGAAAAUACGAAUCUCCUUUUUUAUUAACUAGAAUAAUUUAUUUUUCUCAUGGUAGAAAAAGGAGAAUGUAUCUUAACUCACGAACUGCAUUGUACUUAUAUAUAUACAAUUACAUACAAUCCUCAAUUGAACGUUACACAUAAACUCAGUACACAUCGAUUUCUUAUUACUUCCUUGUCCUCGUGAAUAUGUUCCCGAAAGAAACAAACUGCUCGCUAUGUGUAUCCGAAAAUACGAUCAUCCAAUUGUCGGCGCGAAGUGGGGGAAAAAUGAUUUCGAGAAAAAUGGUUGUGAAUAUAUGAAUUGUGUGCGGCGUGCCGUGAAUUUUGUUGCGUGAAUUGAAAGGGGGAAAAUUAGAAUUUUCGAAAAAUACAUAGGGAUUUCUGUGCGAAGAAGUCUUUAUACUUUGUAUAAAGGAGCUACAGCGCAUGUGUAGUUUGUAUACGUGCGUUUGUGUGCGCGUGCCGUGUUGGCGGAUGGAAAGAUUUUCGGAUGGGAAUAUAUCUCGAGAGGAGCAUUUCGUGACGGGAAGAUUUCGAGGCUCUCUUUCUCCCGCAUUAUAUCUCGGUAUCUGCCGAAUUGCGCGUCGCUACAUUCUUGUUCGUGUGUAAACAUUCUCGGACAAUUAAAAUUACUGAUAGCAAGCGGUAGCUGGAAGAAGAAAACAAAAAUACCCGAUCGAGAGCCGAACGAUGCGAGUUUCGAGAGAUUUUUCGACCGCGAUUCUUAACACGAGGAAAGUACACACGAACAAACGAGGAAACACGAAGCAAAUUAUAUGCCACGAGUCGAGAAGAUCCUGGAAAGUUUCAUAUGACGGAAUCUGCAAAUUAUCUACGCUACAAUUUUUUUAAUUUCAACGAUCAUGACGCGAGAACUUCUAAAUUCAUACAAACAAUUGUCAGAAAUUAUACUCGCUAUUGAAAGACGUUCCAACUAUCCAACUCGCGAAGUCGAUGAACAAAUCAUUUGUGACUUCGAUAUUACAAAUAUACGAUAUUAUAAAUAUCUCAAAAGAUUCAGAUAUCGAAGAUGGUAAACGUCAGGUAAAUAUCUUCAAAUCUAGUCAGACGUGAUUGGUGUAUAAAAGUGAUAGAUCAAGAAUUUAAUCUAAUUUUUUUUUUUUUUUUUUCCAGAUAAUGGGACGUCAUAAAAGACCACGCGCUCUUGAUUUCGACUUAAUGGUCCCGUAUAACGUGCUGAUUGAUAUUAAAAGCUCCUACUAUAUAUCGAUCCAAACUGUAUCGGAUUACAAGAGGUAACGUAGCCCUAUCGCAAGGAUCCUCGCGACUCGCAGCAACGUAUAUGUACAGAGCGUAUUUUUUAUGUACACAUGUACAUAUGUACACAACGUGCGUUUCGACUUACUGCUACGAGCAGAUAUAUAUAUAUAUAUAUAUAUAUUGGCCGAGGAGGGUUUGAUCCCGAUAUCGCAAAUAACAGACCGAUCAACCCGGCAGUGGUAUGACCCGAAAAAUUUGCAUUCCGUCCCUUCACCUCCUCCGGGGAUUUUCGAUUCGUGUAUCAUUUAAACUAAAUUACAGUACAAAUCGUGUAUUUUUUUUUUUUAUUGAUUCGUUAUUUUAUUACCAAAUAACAUUUCCGCAUGUGUUUCUGUAUGUAACUUAAUCUAGUCUAUAAUUUUUGUAACGCAUUUUAUAUACUUGGUGUAUAUCUCUUGAUCAAGAAAUGUUUUUUUCAAACAAAUAUAGAGUUUGCGCAGAUACACACGUAGACAAAUGAUCGAACUAUAUUCGGUACUAUUUAUUGUUCAAAAUAAUGGGAACAUGAUCUCGAUAUGCAUUAAUAUAUAUGUAUGUGUAUAUAUAUAUAUAUAUAUAUGUGUAUAUAAUCGCCUUACUAUAUUAUUAUUUAAAAAAGAGCACCUAAGACAAAUGUGUGAAUAUACCACUGCCGGGCUAAGAGCGGCUUAUGAGCGAUUAUCGGCGGUAGUUUAGCGCUAUUUUUCUCUUUACGUUAAGUGUGAAACGUAGUUCUCCUUCCCGGGAGGAAUUCGAAAGAUCGGUGUGAGAUGUAUGAGUGUGUUCUGUGUGGGUUGUUGUUGUUUGCGUCAUGUCGUCAUGAACGGAUCAACAGCACGGCAUUUUAUAUACGAACCGCAGGAACAAAAAAAAAAACCAACAAGCACACAUUUUACGCACGAAUGUGAGAAAUUCAACUGGGAAAAUGAAAUUAAAUCAAACGACGAAACGUGACGCGAAGAAUAGGAGGAGUUCUGUUCCCUGAAUCUCGCGUUCUCUAAGAUACAUAUAAUUUUGUUCCGCCGAUCGCUCGAGCGUCUCAAUAGCGGAGCUAUAUAAUCCUAAUGUUGUCUUUUUAAUUUUUUUUUUUUUGCUCGGUGCAACAAGUGAAUAAACAAAAGAAGAGUAAGAAAUCAAGAAAAAAAAAACCAAGAUUAAAAACAUGGAAGGAAAACGCGAACAACUAUUCUUUUCUCUCUUUUUUUUUGUGCGCCUAGCAGCAUUUUUUUAUCUUUUUUUCGUCCUUAAUUUCAUAGAAUUCUUUUAAAACUUAUGAGGUAGCGAUGGCAUUACGUGAAUAAUUCCUUCUCUCCUCUAAUCCAACCCUCUCGCGCGCGAUCACGGAGUGAAAAAAAGAAAAAGAAAUUUGCUUCUUUAUAUAUAUAUGGACUUUUUGUUCCUUCUCCGUGUACGCGCCUUUCUUGCUUUCUUUCUCUCUCUUUUUCUCGAAGAAACGGCUAUUUUGGGUUUUAGUAUUACUAAUCUCGUCUCUCGAUAUAUAUUAUGUCCAGCGUCCGAUCGGUCACCCCGUCUCAGUGUUGGCAGUGUAUGGACAGCCUUGAAAUAGUUAUUAUCGCGAAGGAACGAUCGAUAGAGAUCGCACCUUGAAUCAAACCUCGGAUCGCACGGUGGAAUUUGAUUCAUCUCUCUUUUUUUCUGUGGAAGAAAAAUGUAUAUCUUCUUUUCGGUAUUAACCUGUUGCGUUUUCAAACAAACGAUUGAAAAAUUUUCGUCGUUUCUCGACAAUGACAUUGAAACAAAAGCCAAGUUGAACAAUUUAAAAAAAAAAAAAAAAAUUAAUCGCAAUGGAUUAACACCUGUCUAUUUUACGUCGAUAUUUCCUGGAUCGUUUUCUACCGUGCGAUCCGCUUUCCACGGACGUGAUAUCGCUCCUUAGCGUGUAUAAUCAGUCGCAAAAGUUCGGUAGUAAAAUGAGACGAGGCGCACCUGCGCGGAAAACUGCGUACAAAAGAGUUGUCGCUCGAUUUUUCUCCUCUCCAUCUUUCUCAUACAUACAUACACAUAUAUUCUCACUCUCGCUUCUUACCUUUCUCUCUCUCUCUCUUUCGCUCACUCACUCGCUUCAUUCGCCCGCUUCAUUCGACGAACGGCUAUUUUACGGGUUGCACAUAUAAUCUGGCACGUCGACUAAUCAUCCGCCUCACAUGUGUAAUUAAGUUUAAGCUUUACAUAUAUAUAUAAUAUAUUAUAUAUCUAUGUACAACAGAUGUAUAGUGUGUAUAUGCGCUGCGUUAACUAUGUAUACAUAGGUAUAUUUCUCGGGACGUCUCUCGGGGAAAGGGUAAAUGCAGUGUAGAGAAUAAGUUAUAUUCCGCGCGGCUCUGUUUCAUAAUGCCCAUUAUUGGCAACAAUAGGAUAAUAAUAGAUAAUACACCGGAAGUCCCUUUCGGGGCUUCCACCGUCGUCGUCCUACUAUCUCUUUCUCCAUUUUUCACGAUGUCUCUUCUUAACAUCCCUAACUUAGAUCACCUUACGUUAAUAAACGCCUUCUCUUUCUGUCUCUCAUCCCAUCUCCAUCAUCCGGAGGCGUAUUAUAAUGCGCGCUUAAAAAGAGCUAUACUAUCUGUAUUUAGUGAUAUCAACCUGUCACAGUAAUAACAAUGCCCAAGUGUGUAUAAUAAGGCCCUCGAUUGCCGCCAUGUGCCCGGUCCCAAAACCGUUCCCUAAAGUACCUAUUUCAUGGUUUUCUUCAAGCGAAUUCUUUCCAGUCACGCACCAAGUAUCUGAAUAAAAAGAGAAGCGGAGCUUUCUUACAGCUGGUUUCGAGUAAAGCGAUCUUAUUCAACGAAUCUCUGAGUUGAUCGUCAAACCAAAAGUUUGGUAAUAUAUAUACUGUAUAUAUUUUUAAUUACUAAUCAGAGACUUUUUUAGAAUUGGGCUAAGUUACCCUUGACAACUCAUUAUUAAAUUUCCGAAAACCUCUAAUGAGAACUCCAUUAUUAUCAUGAGACAUCGAUCUGCAAUUUAUUCAGAUACUUGUGAGGCCAAUCAAUGUCGUUGCAUGAAGUUUCCGAAAAAGAUAAUCGUCGAUUCAACAAGAGGAACAAGAACGCAACCGUCAGUUCGAUCUCGUCCUCUCGGCGAAACGAGUUCGGAAAAAAGCGACAACUGCUCUCCCCCCUACCCUUGAAAAUUUUUCCGGCGGCCCUGUAACACUAUAUCCUACAUUUACUCCGAAUCGCACAUUUUACUUCCUCCGUAAAUCAAAAUCCUAAUACUAAAGCCCAAAAUAUUUCAUCACUUCUGGUCACGAUCUACCACUUUACAUGUUUCCAUCAUAAUGUUUCCUCCCUCCCCCCCCAAAAA